CCUGGUUGAUUCUGCCAGUAGUCAUAUGCUUGUCUCAAAGAUUAAGCCAUGCAUGUCUAAGUAUAAGCAAUUUGUACGGUGAAACUGCGAAUGGCUCAUUAAAUCAGUUAUAGUUCAUUUGAUAGUACCUUACUACAUGGAUACCUGUGGUAAUUCUAGAGCUAAUACAUGCUUAAAACCCCAACUUCGGAAGGGGUGUAUUUAUUAGAUAAAAAACCAAUGCCCUUCGGGGCUCCUUGGUGAAUCAUAAUAACUUAUCGAAUCGCAUGGCCUUGCGCUGGCGAUGGUUCAUUCAAAUUUCUGCCCUAUCAACUUUCGAUGGUAGGAUAGUGGCCUACCAUGGUGGCAACGGGUAACGGGGAAUUAGGGUUCGAUUCCGGAGAGGGAGCCUGAGAAACGGCUACCACAUCUAAGGAAGGCAGCAGGCGCGCAAAUUACCCAAUCCCGACACGGGGAGGUAGUGACAAUAAAUACUGAUACAGGGCUCUUUUGGGUCUUGUAAUUGGAAUGAGUACAAUCUAAAUCCCUUAACGAGGAGCAAUUGGAGGGCAAGUCUGGUGCCAGCAGCCGCGGUAAUUCCAGCUCCAAUAGCGUAUAUUAAAGUUGUUGCAGUUAAAAAGCUCGUAGUUGAACCUUGGGUCUGGCUGGCCGGUCCGCCUCACCGCGUGCACUGGUCCGGCUGGACCUUUCCUUCUGGGGAGCCCCAUGGCCUUUACUGGCUGUGGGGGGAACCAGGACUUUUACUUUGAAAAAAUUAGAGUGUUCAAAGCAGGCCUUUGCUCGGAUACAUUAGCAUGGAAUAAUAGAAUAGGACGUGCGGUUCUAUUUUGUUGGUUUCUAGGACCGCCGUAAUGAUUAAUAGGGAUGGUCGGGGGCGUCAGUAUUCGGCUGUCAGAGGUGAAAUUCUUGGAUUUGCUGAAGACUAACUACUGCGAAAGCAUUCGCCAAGGACGUUUUCAUUGAUCAGGGAACGAAAGUUAGGGGAUCGAAGACGAUCAGAUACCGUCGUAGUCUUAACCAUAAACUAUGCCGACUAGGGAUCGGACGCUGUUUUUAUGAUGACCCGUUCGGCACCUUACGAGAAAUCAAAGUUUUUGGGUUCUGGGGGGAGUAUGGUCGCAAGGCUGAAACUUAAAGAAAUUGACGGAAGGGCACCACAAGGCGUGGAGCCUGCGGCUUAAUUUGACCCAACACGGGGAAACUCACCAGGUCCAGACAAAAUAAGGAUUGACAGAUUGAGAGCUCUUUCUUGAUCUUUUGGGUGGUGGUGCAUGGCCGUUCUUAGUUGGUGGAGUGAUUUGUCUGCUUAAUUGCG
This 1315-nucleotide ribosomal RNA is filed under the name metagenome. RNAcentral describes it as "SSU rRNA". It matches the Rfam family "Eukaryotic small subunit ribosomal RNA", at positions 3 to 1327 of the family's 1831-position model. The record is from RNAcentral.